Molecule: non-coding RNA, 116 nt
Organism: Arabidopsis suecica
Lineage: Eukaryota; Viridiplantae; Streptophyta; Magnoliopsida; Brassicales; Brassicaceae
Source: the annotation of a GenBank genome assembly
UCGUAUUACAUGUUUUGUUCGUGAAUCUAAUUCAACAGGCUUAUGUUUGAGAUUUUUUUUAACAAAUCCCAAUUUUGCUGUUGGAUUAGAUUCACGCACAAACUCGUAAUCUGUCU